This 263-nucleotide long non-coding RNA is filed under the name Eutrema salsugineum. Its description in RNAcentral is "long non-coding RNA (ESAL_LNC001703)". The record is from RNAcentral. Lineage: Eukaryota; Viridiplantae; Streptophyta; Magnoliopsida; Brassicales; Brassicaceae.
UUUACGUUAAAAUUCCAAGCUGCCUAAUGACUUAGGCGAUUUCUCUAUUAUAUAGACUUAGAGAAAUCGCAGCCCUAAAGAAACAAAACUACAUGAAGUUUAAAUAAAAACAACAGGAAGUUUGAUUUAAAAUAAAAACAGCGAGGCGUCCCUAAAAUCCUAAGUGGUGCGCCAAAAUACUAAGUGCACAAGUCAUUGUGACUUUGCACAUUAUUACCCAUUAGUAACAACUUCUAAGUAACUCGACGUAGCAAUGAUUUCUG